This 476-nucleotide unclassified non-coding RNA is filed under the name Hevea brasiliensis (rubber tree). Lineage: Eukaryota; Viridiplantae; Streptophyta; Magnoliopsida; Malpighiales; Euphorbiaceae. The record is from RNAcentral.
GUUUGCCACUUGCUCAUUUUCUUUGUGUUUCAUUUGAAAUUUUUACCGUUGUGCAUACUGCGAUCCAUUUAUUUGCUUUUAGAAAAUGAAAAUUUGGAGUAUUUUAUGACUUUUUUUUUCCAUUUGUAAUUUUGCUGCAUGCCAGAUAUGUAUAACUACAGGCACUUCUGUAGGCUUAGAACAGACUUUACUUUGGAUAUUUUAUCACAUAGUUAUUGGACUUUCAUCCUUUUUCCUUUUCAUGGAGGGGAAGGCUGCCUCUCCUAAUGUAUCUAAAGUUCUGGGAACAAUACCAGUGAGUCUAGAUCUCUUGUUGUCCACCCUCAACAUUUUUAUACUAUGAUAUUUUGUUGUACUCUUUUUAUGCUGAUGUUUCCCCAGAGUGGGUUCACUUUCACUUUCCUGUUUAUAGUCUUGUGAACUUAUUGUUGUCAUGGUAUACAUGUCUUUUCAGGGUGUGAAAGUUAUAUACAGAA